RNAcentral lists this ribosomal RNA (506 nucleotides) under uncultured bacterium. RNAcentral describes it as "partial 16S ribosomal RNA". It matches the Rfam family "Bacterial small subunit ribosomal RNA", at positions 29 to 523 of the family's 1533-position model. The record is from RNAcentral.
AGUGAACGCUGGCGGUAGGCCUAACACAUGCAAGUCGAACGGCAGCACAGGAGAGCUUGCUCUCUGGGUGGCGAGUGGCGGACGGGUGAGGAAUACAUCGGAAUCUACUCUGUCGUGGGGGAUAACGUAGGGAAACUUACGCUAAUACCGCAUACGACCUACGGGUGAAAGCAGGGGACCUUCGGUCCUUGCGCGAUGGAAUGAGCCGAUGUCGGAUAAGCUAGUUGGCGGGGUAAAGGCCCACCAAGGCGACGAUCCGUAGCUGGUCUGAGAGGAUGAUCAGCCACACUGGAACUGAGACACGGUCCAGACUCCUACGGGAGGCAGCAGUGGGGAAUAUUGGACAAUGGGCGCAAGCCUGAUCCAGCCAUACCGCGUGGGUGAAGAAGGCCUUCGGGUUGUAAAGCCCUUUUGUUGGGAAAGAAAUCCAGCUGGCUAAUACCCGGUUGGGAUGACGGUACCCAAAGAAUAAGCACCGGCUAACUUCGUGCCAGCCGCCGCGGUAA